GACCACGUAACUCAGUUGGCAGAGUAUUGGGCUAGUAUUCCCAAAGGUCGUAUAGGUUCGAUUCCUACCGUAGCCA
Non-coding RNA from Paramuricea clavata, 76 nucleotides. The record is from the annotation of a GenBank genome assembly. Lineage: Eukaryota; Metazoa; Cnidaria; Anthozoa; Malacalcyonacea; Plexauridae.